RNAcentral lists this ribosomal RNA (446 nucleotides) under uncultured bacterium. Its description in RNAcentral is "partial 16S ribosomal RNA". It matches the Rfam family "Bacterial small subunit ribosomal RNA", at positions 338 to 795 of the family's 1533-position model. The record is from RNAcentral.
CCUACGGGUGGCAGCAGUCGAGAAUCAUUCACAAUGGGGGAAACCCUGAUGGUGCGACGCCGCGUGGGGGAAUGAAGGUCUUCGGAUUGUAAACCCCUGUCAUGUGGGAGCAAAUUAAAAAGAUCGUACCACAAGAGGAAGAGACGGCUAACUCUGUGCCAGCAGCCGCGGUAAUACAGCGGUCUCAAGCGUUGUUCGGAAUCACGGGGCGUAAGGCGUGCGUAGGCUGUUUCGUAAGUCGUGUGUGAAAGGCGCGGGCUCAACCCGCGGACGGCACAUGAUUCUGCGAGACUAGAGUAAUGGAGGGGGAACCGGAAUUCUCGGUGUAGCAGUGAAAUGCGUAGAUAUCGAGAGGAACACUCGUGGCGAAGGCGGGUUCCUGGACAUUAACUGACGCUGAGGCACGAAGGCCAGGGGAGCGAAAGGGAUUAGAUACCCUAGUAGUC